UAACGAUGAACAGCGAACAGGCGUUGCUGGUCAAGAGCGUGGCGAACGUCGCCGACGAUAAUUUUGGUCCCGUAAAUGACGCGGAACCUCGGAGGGGCGGUGAAAAUCCCGGGCCGCCGGAGGCUGGAGAAGACGUCUGGCGGAUUGAAUUCAACUCCGGCGAGGCGUCCGCCGACGGAGGACAAGGGGGCCUCGUAGCGCAGCAACCGCAAGCGGAACCUGUGCCCGAUUGGAGAGGUGUGACCCCUUCGACAUCUCCGGUCGCCAUCCUGCUCUUGGCGCUCACCUUCGCCGUGUUCUUAUCCAUGAUUCUCAUGCACGUCUGGCGGCAGCGCAACUAGACAGUGCUGGCCGGCCCCGACGAACGCGCCUGGACACGGCGGAAGCACCGAAGAAGGUGGCCUUCGAAAGAAAGAACGCUCGAGCAGAAAAAAUUAAUAGAUUCCUGCUGAACAUACAUUUCAUUGAGCGCGAUUUGUUUAUACCGCUCCAUAGUUCUAAUUUCAGUUGCUGGAAAGCUGAAUUAUAAUUUAUGAGUCCAUUCGA
Long non-coding RNA from Dermacentor albipictus, 546 nucleotides. RefSeq lists it as uncharacterized. The record is from RefSeq and is a predicted model, not a curated record. Lineage: Eukaryota; Metazoa; Arthropoda; Arachnida; Ixodida; Ixodidae.